GCGAACAUAGCGUAGUGGUUUGAGUGUUGGACUAUGACUCUGGAGAUGAGGGUUCGAAUCCCAACUUGGCC
RNAcentral lists this transfer RNA (71 nucleotides) under Phrynosoma platyrhinos (Desert horned lizard). Its description in RNAcentral is "tRNA-OTHER". Lineage: Eukaryota; Metazoa; Chordata; Lepidosauria; Squamata; Phrynosomatidae. The record is from RNAcentral.